ACGGGGGGGGCAAGCGUUGUUCGGAAUUACUGGGCGUAAAGGGCGCGUAGGCGGUUUGCUAAGUCGGAUGUGAAAACUCUGGGCUCAACCCAGAGCCUGCAUCCGAAACUGGCAGGCUAGAGUUCUGGAGGGGGUAGCGGAAUUCCGGGUGUAGCGGUGGAAUGCGUAGAGAUCCGGAGGAAGACCGGUGGCGAAGGCGGCCUGCUGGCAGUUACUGACACUGAGGCGCGACAGCGUGGGGAGCAAACAGGA
This 252-nucleotide ribosomal RNA is filed under the name uncultured prokaryote. RNAcentral describes it as "partial 16S ribosomal RNA". It matches the Rfam family "Bacterial small subunit ribosomal RNA", at positions 525 to 777 of the family's 1533-position model. The record is from RNAcentral.